CCUAUUAUUAUGACCCGACUUUAUUUUCUCUUUUCCAAAACCCUAGAGAGCCUCCAUCUCCAUUCCAGCAACUGAUUAUUUGUUACAUCCAAUCUAUUACAAUCUCAAACCCUAAAUCUCAGUCGCUUAUGACUUUGAAGAUUUCAAGCUGGGCGAUUUCAUAUAUUGAUUUCAUAUGGAUCGUGACCAUUUCUUUUGGAUCGUCGGACGACGGCUCGGGCGAUUCCUGAGGCUGAAGACAACAACGGCAAGAGGCACUCUGGCGACGCGAUUAGGGUUUCGCUGUGAACCCUAACAACAGUGGCAGCGACGCAUUUUAUUCUUGAAGAUUUGAUUUUUUCCAAUGUAUCAAACCGUUUGUGUUCUUCUAAUCCGUCUCUUGCUCUAAUGGUUUAUUUGUUUUUUUUUUUUUAUUUUCUUAAGGUGCAGUCCAAGUUAAGUUUGUGAAAAUUUAGUCAUAAAAUUAAGCAUCAAUUUUGUUAUUAGAGAAGGUAUGUAUUUCGUCUUCAAUUUCGUUUGUAGUCUCUGAAGUUGUAUUGGUGUAAAUAUAUGUAAAUUAUAACUUUACAUAUGAUUUUCACUAUGUGUGAAUUAACAUCAAAAUCUUUGUCUGCCAAUCUCAUACUGCUGUUCUACACAGAACUUAGUCGUCAACAACAUUUCGUUUACCAGGUUAUGCCCCGGCGAUGUCUUAAUUAUUACACAUCCUAUUUUGGUUAUAUUCUUGCCGGCAUACUUCAUAUAUCAGGUACAGAGGAAGUGUCGAACUGAACGAUUGAGAAAACUAAGCCGAGUCUGGUAAAGCGGAUUGCGUAUGCUCAUCGAGUUGUCGCUGAAUCAGACAAAGAUAUUAUUCAAUAUGAGUUGCUUGGUGCUAAGAUACGUGGCACUGGUUUUGCAAGAGCUGAGUUGCUAUAAAAUCAAAGAAUGGUUCAUGUUUGCUGAGGGAACUAAUUGACAACAAGUAUUAUGCCACCGUAAGAAAGGUGGGUACUUUUCACAUGAGCGAGGUUCCAGCCAAGAACGCGGGUAGGCUGGCGAUGGUCCCCAUGAGGAAGUCAAAGGGGACUAGGCGGCACAACGCUAGAUACUAUUGUCCUCUUAAUCAGUGAUACACUUGUGUAAGUGUUUAUGCAUGUUGUUCAAUCGUAUUCAUCAGGUAAUAGUAUGAUUUUAAUCAUUUUUUUGUUAUAUCAAUCGAAUAUUCAUCAAUGGCAGCCACGGCUCAUCAACAAAACCCUAAAUUGAUUUAUACACAGUGCUUCCUUUUGACCCUAUUCAAUCGUAUUCAUCAAGUAAUAAUAUGAUUUUAAUCACUUUUUUGUUAAAUCAAUCGUUUAUUAUACUUUUUUUUCAAUGAUUUCAUUAAUUUUAUGUAAAAUCUUUUAUAUAUUUAAUCAAUUUUACAUCUUAACUUGGUAAAUCUUAGAUGUGUUUCGUCGAUUUUGUGUUACAUCUUAACUUGGUAAAUCUUAGAAGACCAAGUUGAGUCUGAAGUAGCGAUUAUAAAGGCCCGAUGCAGUGCCGCUGAGGCCAGGAGGUUGGCUGCUACACGUGAACAAAUCAUAUCUGCUCAAUAAGAUGCUGAUGAGUGGAAACAAAAAUAUGAUGUUGCUAUGACAUGCUAAUGUUAUAAUAUGUUUUUGUUUACGAAGGGUCACAAAGGUUGCCGACUUCUUUGCCGAAAGAGGAGCGGUUGCUGACCGAAGUUGUCGGUUGCGGUGACAUGAUGGUAGGGAUGCUUUAGACGCCAUCAUCAGAGACAACUUCCUGUUACAAACAAUAGGUAUGAGAGCACAUGAAUUAGACCAGAAUAUCUCAAGAUGUUCAAAGGAAAAUUCAAAUUUUUUAUGCAAUGAAAAACCGAUAUGGAAGAUCCGACAAGAGCUAGGAAGGGAUUCUUGUAGGACAUGGUCUGGAUCAUGACAUGAAAUGCUUGGGACUAGAGUACCUUCUUGUAAAA
Molecule: long non-coding RNA, 1963 nt
Organism: Helianthus annuus (common sunflower)
Lineage: Eukaryota; Viridiplantae; Streptophyta; Magnoliopsida; Asterales; Asteraceae
Exons: 6
Source: RefSeq, a predicted model, not a curated record